AGUGAACGCUGGCGGUAGGCCUAACACAUGCAAGUCGAACGGCAGCACAGUAAGAGCUUGCUCUUACGGGUGGCGAGUGGCGGACGGGUGAGGAAUACAUCGGAAUCUACUUUUUCGUGGGGGAUAACGUAGGGAAACUUACGCUAAUACCGCAUACGACCUACGGGUGAAAGCAGGGGAUCUUCGGACCUUGCGCGAUUGAAUUAGCCGAUGUCGGAUUAGCUAGUUGGCGGGGUAAAGGCCCACCAAGGCGACGAUCCGUAGCUGGUCAGAGUGGAUGGUCAGCCACACUGGAACUGAGACACGGUCCAGACUCCUACGGGAGGCAGCAGUGGGGAAUAUUGGACAAUGGGCGCAAGCCUGAUCCAGCCAUACCGCGUGGGUGAAGAAGGCCUUCGGGUUGUAAAGCCCUUUUGUUGGGAAAGAAAAGCAGCAGGUUAAUACCCCGCUGUCCUGACGGUACCCAAAGAAUAAGCACCGGCUAACUUCGUG
This 492-nucleotide ribosomal RNA is filed under the name uncultured bacterium. RNAcentral's name for it is "partial 16S ribosomal RNA". It matches the Rfam family "Bacterial small subunit ribosomal RNA", at positions 29 to 507 of the family's 1533-position model. The record is from RNAcentral.